GUUAAUAUCCUGAGGCAAGGAAUUAAUUUUGGGACUGGUAGGGACUUGGAUAACUUGUGAAAAAGAAGCUGAACUCCAAGAAAGAGAGGGGAAGAUAGAGGGAAGAGGAUAAGAAGGAGGGAAGAGAAGAGAGUGUAGAAACAAAGACUCUUCUGUGUUCCUCUACCUGGUAGUCAAUCUGCACAAAACUGGAAUGCAUCUUAGUGCUAAACUGCAAAUAUCUGAAAGUGAAUACCUGAAGUAUGCCUUAUCCUUCUGUGACCAACCCAGGACAACUCUAGAGCUCUAUUGAUUACUGCUUUGGCUAUCAGAGCCUUCCAAGUGCUGAGCUGGUUCUAGAAACAUUAAUCAACUUCAUCAUUUUUUUGGACAUCUCUAGAAAAGUACACUGUCAAGGUAUCUGACAACAUGAUGCUUUGCAUAAUGCUCCACAUUUGGAGAGCAACUUCUUUCAUCUAGAACCGGUGCAAGCAUGCCAUCAUGAAACUAGUGUACAAUACUGAUGAACUUCUUCAUGCAACCAAAUUUCACCAUGAUCUUCCACAAGUCCUCAUGUAUAAGGGCUUGCUGAC
Molecule: non-coding RNA, 572 nt
Organism: Phascolarctos cinereus (koala)
Lineage: Eukaryota; Metazoa; Chordata; Mammalia; Diprotodontia; Phascolarctidae
Source: RefSeq, a predicted model, not a curated record